Long non-coding RNA from Oncorhynchus kisutch (coho salmon), 1937 nucleotides. RefSeq lists it as uncharacterized. Lineage: Eukaryota; Metazoa; Chordata; Actinopteri; Salmoniformes; Salmonidae. The record is from RefSeq and is a predicted model, not a curated record. The transcript is spliced from 2 exons.
AAAAAGCUGAGAUGGAGAGACAAGAGAGAAAAGAGAGCGAUAGAGAGGAAAAGGAAAGAGAACAACAGAUUCAACAAAUAAACCAGAGGAGUCAGAGAGGAGGACAGAAGGAAUGUGGGAAAGGAGAGAUCGGAGAAAGCAGAGAGUUGAGAGACACACCCAUUAAUCCUCUGCAGAGCUGACGGUCUCAGUAAAAUGCCAAUCUAUCAGCCAUCGGUCUGGAUGUCUCCUGUCUCUUAUACACACUGGCUGGCUGGCUGGAUGGAUGGAUGAAAAGUUCCUGGCGAUGCAGCCACGGACACGUGUGCUCCCACCUGAUGGUGCGGAGAACGAGGGAUGUCAAAAUGGAGGAAGAGAGGUGGGGAUGGGAGAGAGAUGGACAAGAGCACGGAAUGAGAGAGGGGGAGAAGAGAAUAGAGAGUAGGAAGGGAGAGAGGGAGGGUGGAUGAGAGGAGAGGAUAGGGGAAGAGGGGAAAGAUGAACUGUCGAGGACAUGUAGGUGGGGGUGUUCUGCAUUCGGAACAAUUCCAUUUCGCUAUGUUAGCGAGUCCUUUUUAGAAGACAGCCAGUUCCCCGAGACUCUACUGAUACCAUGGUGACACAUACACCAGUGGAGGAUCCUCAGAGAAAGGGGAUGACCAUCCUACUCAGUGAAUUUCAUAAAAAUAGAAAUAGUGAAACAUAAACAAGUUUUCCUUUUAAGAUAAGACUAUACGAUAUAGGCAGAAUCUACCGCACACUCAACAUAAGAUUUGUGAAGGUUCUGGAGGCAAAAGGUAAAACUGGAGAAACAGGAAAAAGGUUCCGAGAAUGAAUCUAGUGGUGAAAGCAUAAGCUACAGAAAGCUAGCACAGCAGGGCAUAAAGUGUGGUGAGUAGUUUAACUGUUUUGAACAAAUUCAUUCAUUUAAAAAAUUAAGGAGAAGCAGCAGCAGAGAGAAAGAGAGCUAGCUAUAUUUUGUUUUAUUUUCUUCUUCUUAAUUUACCUAAUGUGGCUAAUUUAGCCUGACUCAAACAGAGAUUCAUGUUAUUUAUGUUAGCGAGCUGCCUAAGGCUAUUCAACACGGCAACUUUUUCAAGUCAAGGUAAGCUUUCAGUUUUUAUAAAUUUAUUGCCACCGGGCCCCACAGUUUAACUGCUAAACUGCUUGCUGUACUGUACACUGUACUGCAUGACUGUACACAUGGAUUGGAUGGAUGGAUUGAAUCUACACACCACACCCCAUAAUGACGAAGCAAAAAUAGGUUUUUUAGAAAUGUUUGCAAAUGUAUAUACAGUACCAGUCAAAAGUUACUACUAAUUAGUCAAAAGCUAUUUGUCAAAAGCUAAUUAGUAGCAUGUCUCAAAAGUGAGUCGUAAGACUACAUUCAAUACAUGGGUCUUUUGGUGCCUAUUGUGUAUCAUAAUGUGAUUGUCUUCUGUGUGUAUAGACAUUAUGAUAAAAUAAUGUAUAUGUUGAAAGAUAAAGAUGAAAUAAUUCCACUCUGAAACCAUAUAAUUGUAUGAAAUGUAUUUGCAUCAUAAAACUAUAAUCGGAUGAUGUGUGUAGUUUUAGUCAGAAUUAGAACAAGGACCUUUUGUUCCUUUUUAGUAUGUAAGCAGGGUGCAAGUGGGAAACAAAUGAUAAGAGGAGCUAUUGACAGACAAGUUGUAACACUGUGUUCCUUACAGGACAUUCUGUCUCCACCCGUGGAGGGGAGAAACUGUUUGGCUUGCAGAAAAUUAUGAAACAUGUUGCAGAUUUAACAAUGUAUCUGUAUAGUGGAAAAACACAGACCAUCUGAGCAAGGCGUAGUUUAAGAUUUGAACUUGUAUGUAUGUGCGUAGGAUAUCUACUGUUUGUGUGUGAAGGUAUGUGCGUAAGGAGCCAGUAUAAAAUGAAUGUUUUUGUACCACGGACUAGAACGUUCUUGUGAAUAAACACUUUGAUUAUUGUAA